GAGUAAAGCUCCGGCGCUUCGGGAGAGGCCUGCGGCCCAUCAGCUAGUUGGUAGGGUAACGGCCUACCAAGGCAGAGACGGGUAGGGGGCGUGAGAGCGCGGACCCCCACUACUGGCACUGAGAUACGGGCCAGACUCCUACGGGAGGCAGCAGUAAGGGAUAUUGCGCAAUGGACGAAAGUCAGACGCAGCGACGCCGCGUGGGCGAUGAAGGCCUUCGGGUUGUAAAGCCCUUUUAUGGGGGAAGAGAAAAAGGACGGUACCCCAGGAAUAAGUCCCGGCUAACUACGUGCCAGCAGCCGCGGUAAAACGUAGGGGACAAGCGUUAUCCGGAUUCACUGGGCGUAAAGAGCGUUGAGGCGGUUCCGUAAGUUGGGCGUGAAAGCUCCGGGCUUAACUCGGAGAUGUCGUUCAAUACUGCGGGGCUUGAGGACAGCAGAGGAAGGUGGAAUUCCCGGUGUAGUGGUGAAAUGCGUAGAUAUCGGGAGGAACACCCGUGGCGAAGGCGGCCUUCUGGGCUGUUCCUGACGCUGAAGGCGAAAGCUAGGGGAGCGAACGGGAUUAGAUACCCCGGUAGUCCCUAGCUGUAAACGGAUGGAUGCUGGGUGUGGGGGGUGUAAAUUCCCUCUGUGCCGAAGCAAACGCGUUAAGCAUCCCGCCUGGGGACUACGGCCGCAAGGCUAAAACUCAAACGAAUUGACGGGGGCCCGCACAAGCAGCGGAGCGUGUGGUUUAAUUCGAUGCUACACGAAGAACCUUACCUGGGUUUGACAUGCACGUGGUAGGGAACCGAAAGGGGACCGACCUUCGGGAGCGUGCACAGGUGCUGCAUGGCUGUCGUCAGCUCGUGCCGUGAGGUGUCGGGUUAAGUCCCGUAACGAGCGCAACCCUUGCCCUUAGUUACAAGUGUCUAAGGGGACUGCCCGGGACAACUGGGAGGAAGGUGGGGAUGACGUCAAGUCAGCAUGGCCUUUAUAUCCAGGGCUACACACACGCUACAAUGGCCGGUACAAUAGGUUGCGAAGUCGUGAGGCGGAGCCAAUCCUCAAAGCCGGUCUCAGUUCGAAUUGCAGUCUGCACUCGACUGCAUGAAGCUGGACUUGCUAGUAAUCGCAGGUCAGCUAUACUGCG
RNAcentral lists this ribosomal RNA (1131 nucleotides) under uncultured organism. RNAcentral describes it as "bacterial SSU rRNA". It matches the Rfam family "Bacterial small subunit ribosomal RNA", at positions 199 to 1361 of the family's 1533-position model. The record is from RNAcentral.